Microtus oregoni (creeping vole) is the source of this 105-nucleotide small nuclear RNA. The record is from RefSeq and is a predicted model, not a curated record. Lineage: Eukaryota; Metazoa; Chordata; Mammalia; Rodentia; Cricetidae.
GCUCUCCUUGGCAGAACAUGGACUAAAAUUAGGACGAUGUGGGGGAGAUUAGCAUGGCCCCUGCACAAAGGUGACAGGCAGAUGCAUGACACAUUCCAUAGCGCU